UCCUCCCUCGUCGCAGCCGCCGCCGCCGCCGCCGCCGCCUCAGCCUUCGCCUCAGCCGCCGCCCGCUCCCGCCCGCGCGCGGCGGGAUGGACGAUCAAUCCAGGAUGCUGCAGACUCUGGCCGGGGUGAACCUGGCUGGCCACUCGGUGCAGGGGGGCAUGGCCCUGCCGCCUCCCCCGCACGGCCACGAAGGGGCGGACGGCGACGGCAGGAAGCAGGACAUCGGCGACAUCCUCCACCAGAUCAUGACCAUCACCGACCAGAGCUUGGACGAGGCGCAAGCAAAGAAACAUGCCCUGAACUGUCACAGAAUGAAACCAGCGCUCUUCAGCGUCCUGUGUGAGAUCAAAGAGAAAACAGAAUGUCCUCAUUUAAACUUUUUUUUUUAACAACUCAUGGAUUUGGUCUCUGAGUUACUUUACCUCUACUCAAG
Molecule: small RNA, 433 nt
Filed under: Pan troglodytes (chimpanzee)
Lineage: Eukaryota; Metazoa; Chordata; Mammalia; Primates; Hominidae
Description: processed transcript
Source: RNAcentral